GACGUAGGGCGCAAGCGUUGUCCGGAUUUAUUGGGCGUAAAGAGCUCGUAGGCGGUUUGUUGCGUCGGCUGUGAAAUCCCGAGGCUCAACCUCGGGUCUGCAGUCGAUACGAGCAAACUAGAGUGUUGCAGGGGAGACUGGAAUUCCUGAUGUAGCGGUGAGAUGCGCAGAUAUCAGGAGGAACACCGGUGGCGAAGGCGGGUCUCUGGGCAACAACUGACGCUGAGGAGCGAAAGCGUGGGGAGCGAACAGG
This 253-nucleotide ribosomal RNA is filed under the name uncultured bacterium. RNAcentral's name for it is "partial 16S ribosomal RNA". It matches the Rfam family "Bacterial small subunit ribosomal RNA", at positions 524 to 776 of the family's 1533-position model. The record is from RNAcentral.